GUGCCCUUAGCUCAGCUGGUAGAGCAACUGACUUUUAAUCAGUAGGUCGCAGGUUCGAAACCUGCAGGGCACACCA
This 76-nucleotide transfer RNA is filed under the name Hyphomonas sp. Its description in RNAcentral is "tRNA-Lys". It matches the Rfam family "tRNA". From Rfam's summary of the family: Transfer RNA (tRNA) molecules are approximately 80 nucleotides in length. RNAcentral also lists the same sequence under 1 other name. The record is from RNAcentral. Lineage: Bacteria; Pseudomonadati; Pseudomonadota; Alphaproteobacteria; Hyphomonadales; Hyphomonadaceae.